GACGAACGCUGGCGGCGUGCUUAACACAUGCAAGUCGAACGGAAAGGCCCUGCUUUUGUGGGGUGCUCGAGUGGCGAACGGGUGAGUAACACGUGAGUAACCUGCCCUUGACUUUGGGAUAACUUCAGGAAACUGGGGCUAAUACCGGAUAGGAGCUCCUGCUGCAUGGUGGGGGUUGGAAAGUUUCGGCGGUUGGGGAUGGACUCGCGGCUUAUCAGCUUGUUGGUGGGGUAGUGGCUUACCAAGGCUUUGACGGGUAGCCGGCCUGAGAGGGUGACCGGCCACAUUGGGACUGAGAUACGGCCCAGACUCCUACGGGAGGCAGCAGUGGGGAAUAUUGCACAAUGGGCGGAAGCCUGAUGCAGCAACGCCGCGUGCGGGAUGACGGCCUUCGGGUUGUAAACCGCUUUCGCCUGUGACGAAGCGUGAGUGACGGUAAUGGGUAAAGAAGCACCGGCUAACUACGUGCCAGCAGCCGCGGUGAUACGUAGGUGCGAGCGUUGUCCGGAUUUAUUGGGCGUAAAGGGCUCGUAGGUGGUUGAUCGCGUCGGAAGUGUAAUCUUGGGGCUUAACCCUGAGCGUGCUUUCGAUACGGGUUGACUUGAGGAAGGUAGGGGAGAAUGGAAUUCCUGGUGGAGCGGUGGAAUGCGCAGAUAUCAGGAGGAACACCAGUGGCGAAGGCGGUUCUCUGGGCCUUUCCUGACGCUGAGGAGCGAAAGCGUGGGGAGCGAACAGGCUUAGAUACCCUGGUAGUCCACGCUGUAAACGGUGGGUACUAGGUGUGGGGUCCAUUCCACGGGUUCCGUGCCGUAGCUAACGCUUUAAGUACCCCGCCUGGGGAGUACGGCCGCAAGGCUAAAACUCAAAGGAAUUGACGGGGCCCCGCACAAGCGGCGGAGCAUGCGGAUUAAUUCGAUGCAACGCGUAGAACCUUACCUGGGUUUGACAUGGAUCGGGAGUGCUCAGAGAUGGGUGUGCCUCUUUUGGGGUCGGUUCACAGGUGGUGCAUGGCUGUCGUCAGCUCGUGUCGUGAGAUGUUGGGUUAAGUCCCGCAACGAGCGCAACCCUUGUUCACUGUUGCCAGCACGUUAUGGUGGGGACUCAGUGGAGACCGCCGGGGUCAACUCGGAGGAAGGUGGGGAUGACGUCAAGUCAUCAUGCCCCUUAUGUCCAGGGCUUCACGCAUGCUACAAUGGCUGGUACAGAGAGUGGCGAGCCUGUGAGGGUGAGCGAAUCUCGGAAAGCCGGUCUCAGUUCGGAUUGGGGUCUGCAACUCGACCUCAUGAAGUCGGAGUCGCUAGUAAUCGCAGAUCAGCAACGCUGCGGUGAAUACGUUCCCGGG
This 1342-nucleotide ribosomal RNA is filed under the name uncultured bacterium. Its description in RNAcentral is "16S ribosomal RNA". It matches the Rfam family "Bacterial small subunit ribosomal RNA", at positions 28 to 1378 of the family's 1533-position model. The record is from RNAcentral.